RNAcentral lists this ribosomal RNA (253 nucleotides) under uncultured prokaryote. Its description in RNAcentral is "partial 16S ribosomal RNA". It matches the Rfam family "Bacterial small subunit ribosomal RNA", at positions 524 to 776 of the family's 1533-position model. The record is from RNAcentral.
UACGUAGGGACCAAGCGUUGUUCGGAUUUACUGGGCGUAAAGGGCGCGUAGGCGGCGCGGUAAGUAACUUGUGAAAUCUCUGGGCUUAACCCAGAAAGGUCAACUGAUACUGCGGGGCUAGAGUGCAGAAGGGGCAACUGGAAUUCUCGGUGUAGCGGUGAAAUGCGUAGAUAUCGAGAGGAACACCUGCGGCGAAGGCGGGUUGCUGGGCUGACACUGACGCUGAGGCGCGAAAGCUAGGGGAGCGAACGGG